This 63-nucleotide transfer RNA is filed under the name Cuneopsis heudei. RNAcentral describes it as "tRNA-Gly". RNAcentral also lists the same sequence under 1 other name. The record is from RNAcentral. Lineage: Eukaryota; Metazoa; Mollusca; Bivalvia; Unionida; Unionidae.
AUGCUGAUAGUAUUAAAAUGUACAAUUGCCUUCCAAGCAGAAAGACCAAACAUGGUCAGCAUA